RNAcentral lists this ribosomal RNA (776 nucleotides) under uncultured Neocallimastigales. RNAcentral describes it as "partial large subunit ribosomal RNA". It matches the Rfam family "Eukaryotic large subunit ribosomal RNA", at positions 24 to 614 of the family's 3401-position model. The record is from RNAcentral. Lineage: Eukaryota; Fungi; Neocallimastigomycota; Neocallimastigomycetes; Neocallimastigales.
UAUCUCUGUAGAGUCUGCAUAUCAAUAAGCGGAGGAAAAGAAACUAACUAGGAUUCCCUCAGUAACGGCGAGUGAAGCGGGAAGAGCUCAAAUUUGAAAUCUUCAAGGUUUUACCUUGACGAAUUGUAGUUUAAAGAAGUGUUUUCUGUUGGAGUUUUGGUAAAAGUUCUUUGGAAUAGGACAUCAUAGAGGGUGAGAAUCCCGUAUUUGACCAUUAUUUCCAGCUUUGUGAUACACUUUCAAAGAGUCGGAUUGUUUGGGAAUGCAGUCCAAAAUGGGUGGUAAAUUUCAUCUAAAGCUAAAUACUGGCGAGAGACCGAUAGCGAACAAGUACCGUGAGGGAAAGAUGAAAAGAACUUUGAAAAGAGAGUUAAACAGUACGUGAAAUUGUCAAAAGGGAAGCGUUUGACACCAGUGUUGUUUUCUCGAAAAUCAAUUAAAAAAUGGCAGGGAUUUUGUGUUGUAUUGACUUUAUCAGCUUUCUGCACUUUUUUCCUGUCUUUUUUAAUGCACUUUUCGUUUAACAAGUCAACAUCAAUUUCUUUUGUUGUAAAAGGGUCAUUGGAAGGUGGCUUUCUUUUCGGAGAAAGUGUUUAUAGCCUUUGGCCUCUGCAAUCGGAGAGAUUGAGGUCUGCAGCGUAGAUCCUUCGGGGUUAGAUACAUUUGUGCUAAGUUAUAGCCUUUCAUAGACAACUUGUUGACUAUGAUCAGUCAUGUAGCUUACUCGCUUAUGCUAUUUUACCUACGCUUAGGAUGUUGAGUCAUCACACAUCUCU